This 501-nucleotide ribosomal RNA is filed under the name uncultured bacterium. RNAcentral describes it as "partial 16S ribosomal RNA". It matches the Rfam family "Bacterial small subunit ribosomal RNA", at positions 30 to 523 of the family's 1533-position model. The record is from RNAcentral.
AUUGAACGCUGGCGGCAGGCUUAACACAUGCAAGUCGAGCGGGGGGAGGUAGCUUGCUACCGGACCUAGCGGCGGACGGGUGAGUAAUGCUUAGGAAUCUGCCUAUUAGUGGGGGACAACAUCUCGAAAGGGAUGCUAAUACCGCAUACGUCCUACGGGAGAAAGCAGGGGAUCUUCGGACCUUGCGCUAAUAGAUGAGCCUAAGUCGGAUUAGCUAGUUGGUGGGUUAAAGGCCUACCAAGGCGACGAUCUGUAGCGGGUGUGAGAGGAUGAGCCGCCACGCUGGGACUGAGACACGGCCCAGACUGCUACGGGAGGCAGCAGUGGGGAAUAUUGGACAAUGGGGGGAACCCUGUUUCAGCCAUGCCGCGUGUGUGAAGAAGGCCGUAGGGUUGUAAAGCACGUUAAGCGAGGAGGAGGCUACUUUAGUUAAUACCUAGAGAUAGUGGACGUUACUCGCAGAAUAAGCACCGGCUAACUCUGUGCCAGCCGCCGCGGUAA